GAUGAAGAACGUAGCGAAAUGCGAUAAGUAAUGUGAAUUGCAGAAUUCAGUGAAUCAUCGAAUCUUUGAACGCACAUUGCGCCCGCCAGUAUUCUGGCGGGCAUGCCUGUCCGAGCGUCAUUUCAACCCUCGAACCCCUCCGGGGGGUCGGCGUUGGGGAUCGGCCCUUUCACCGGGUGCCGGCCCCUAAAUACAGUGGCGGUCUCGCCGCAGCCUCUCAUGCGCAGUAGUUUUCACACUCGCACCGGGAGCGCGGCGCGUCCACGUCCGUAAAACACCCCAACUUCUGAAAUGUUGACCUCGGAUCAGGUAGGAAUACCCGCUGAACUUAAGCAUAUCAAUAAGCGGAGGA
RNAcentral lists this unclassified non-coding RNA (352 nucleotides) under soil metagenome. Its description in RNAcentral is "partial contains 5.8S ribosomal RNA, internal transcribed spacer 2, and large subunit ribosomal RNA". The stretch from base 1 to 120 matches the Rfam family "5.8S ribosomal RNA", at positions 35 to 154 of the family's 154-position model. The record is from RNAcentral.